AGAGCAUUGAACUGAAGCCCCAGUAAACGGCGGCCGUAACUAUAACGGUCCUAAGGUAGCGAAAUUCCUUGUCGGGUAAGUUCCGACCUGCACGAAUGGCGUAACGACUUCCCCGCUGUCUCCAACAUAGACUCAGCGAAAUUGAAUUCUGAGUUAAGAUGCUCAGUACCCGCGGUUAGACGGAAAGACCCCGUGAACCUUUACUAUAGCUUUGCAGUGGUAUUAGGUGACAAAUGUGUAGGAUAGGUGGGAUGCUAUGAAGUUAUGACGCCAGUUGUAAUGGAGCAGACGUUGAAAUACCACCCUUUUGUUAUUUGAUAUCUAACCUGCUUCCCUGAACGGGAAGAGGGACCCUGCAUGGUGGGUAGUUUGACUGGGGCGGUCGCCUCCCAAAGAGUAACGGAGGCGCGCAAAGGUUGGCUCAGACUGGUCGGAAAUCAGUCGUCGAGUGCAAUGGCAUAAGCCAGCCUGACUGCGAGAGAGACAUUUCGAGCAGAGACGAAAGUCGGUCAUAGUGAUCCGGUGGUCCCGAGUGGAAGGGCCAUCGCUCAACGGAUAAAAGGUACUCUGGGGAUAACAGGCUGAUACCGCCCAAGAGUUCAUAUCGACGGCGGUGUUUGGCACCUCGAUGUCGGCUCAUCUCAUCCUGGGGCUGUAGCCGGUCCCAAGGGUAUGGCUGUUCGCCAUUUAAAGAGGUACGUGAGCUGGGUUUAAAACGUCGUGAGACAGUUUGGUCCCUAUCUGCCGUGGGCGCUGGAAGAUUGACGGGGGCUGCUCCUAGUACGAGAGGACCGGAGUGGACGCACCUCUGGUGUACCGGUUGUCACGCCAGUGGCAUCGCCGGGUAGCUAUGUGCGGAAGAGAUAACCGCUGAAAGCAUCUAAGCGGGAAACUUGCCUGAAGAUAAGUCUUCCCGGAGGCUAGACCUCCCUGAAGAGUCGUUCGAGACCAGGACGUUGAUAGGUCGGGUGUGUAAGCGUUGUGAGACGUUUAGCUAACCGAUACUAAUUGCUCGUGAGGCUUGAUCCU
This 1029-nucleotide ribosomal RNA is filed under the name human gut metagenome. RNAcentral describes it as "bacterial LSU rRNA". It matches the Rfam family "Bacterial large subunit ribosomal RNA", at positions 1901 to 2925 of the family's 2925-position model. The record is from RNAcentral.